CAGUCGCCGCGGGAAUACGUAGGUGGCAAGCGUUGUCCGGAAUUAUUGGGCGUAAGGGCUCGCAGGCGGUUUCUUAAGUCUGGUGUGAAAGCCCCCGGCUCAACCGGGGAGGGUCAUUGGAAACUGGGAAACUUGAGUGCAGAAGAGGAGAGUGGAAUUCCACGUGUAGCGGUGAAAUGCGUAGAGAUGUGGAGGAACACCAGUGGCGAAGGCGACUCUCUGGUCUGUAACUGACGCUGAGGAGCGAAAGCGUGGGGAGCGAACAGGAUUAGAUACCCGGGUAGUCCCUGUCUCUUAUACA
Molecule: ribosomal RNA, 301 nt
Filed under: uncultured bacterium
Lineage: Bacteria
Description: partial 16S ribosomal RNA
Rfam family: Bacterial small subunit ribosomal RNA
Source: RNAcentral